AGUGAACGCUGGCGAUAGGCCUAACACAUGCAAGUCGAACGGCAGCACAGUAUGAGCUUGCUCUUACGGGUGGCGAGUGGCGGACGGGUGAGGAAUACAUCGGAAUCUACUUUUUCGUGGGGGAUAACGUAGGGAAACUUACGCUAAUACCGCAUACGACCUACGGGUGAAAGCAGGGGAUCUUCGGACCUUGCGCGAUUGAAUGAGCCGAUGUCGGAUUAGCUAGUUGGCGGGGUAAAGGCCCACCAAGGCGACGAUCCGUAGCUGGUCUGAGAGGAUGAUCAGCCACACUGGAACUGAGACACGGUCCAGACUCCUACGGGAGGCAGCAGUGGGGAAUAUUGGACAAUGGGCGCAAGCCUGAUCCAGCCAUACCGCGUGGGUGAAGAAGGCCUUCGGGUUGUAAAGCCCUUUUGUUGGGAAAGAAAAGCAGCAGGUUAAUACCCCGCUGUUCUGACGGUACCCAAAGAAUAAGCACCGGCUAACUUCGUG
This 492-nucleotide ribosomal RNA is filed under the name uncultured bacterium. RNAcentral describes it as "partial 16S ribosomal RNA". It matches the Rfam family "Bacterial small subunit ribosomal RNA", at positions 29 to 507 of the family's 1533-position model. The record is from RNAcentral.